UACGGAGGAUCCAAGCGUUAUCCGGAUUUAUUGGGUUUAAAGGGUGCGUAGGUGGCCUGUUAAGUCAGGGGUGAAAGACGGUAGCUCAACUAUCGCAGUGCCCUUGAUACUGAUGGGCUUGAAUGAACUAGAGGUAGGCGGAAUGUGACAAGUAGCGGUGAAAUGCAUAGAUAUGUCACAGAACACCAAUUGCGAAGGCAGCUUACUAUGGUUUUAUUGACACUGAGGCACGAAAGCGUGGGGAGCGAACAGG
This 253-nucleotide ribosomal RNA is filed under the name uncultured bacterium. RNAcentral's name for it is "partial 16S ribosomal RNA". It matches the Rfam family "Bacterial small subunit ribosomal RNA", at positions 524 to 776 of the family's 1533-position model. The record is from RNAcentral.